Molecule: long non-coding RNA, 270 nt
Filed under: Helianthus annuus (common sunflower)
Lineage: Eukaryota; Viridiplantae; Streptophyta; Magnoliopsida; Asterales; Asteraceae
Description: hypothetical non coding rna
Source: RNAcentral
UGUUCAUAGGAGCGACCAGGAGAAGAGGGGAGGGAGCCAACCCUAGUUCUUCAAGAAUCUUCAAAUUGAAGCUCAAUUCAGGCCCUAAAUCGAUGCAUGAACACAUAAAAACGAUCACCAAGCUUAGGGGAUCAUGAGUUUAACGCUUAACAAGCUAGGUGGGAGCUUGUGGAGGAAGCGGGUCAAACGGAUCAAGAACGAAAAGAAAAGCGUGGUUUUGGAUGCAAGUUGUUGACAGCAACAGUUCCGCUACUUGCAGAAAUUAUUUCG